This 157-nucleotide ribosomal RNA is filed under the name Pseudogymnoascus pannorum. Its description in RNAcentral is "5.8S ribosomal RNA". It matches the Rfam family "5.8S ribosomal RNA". Rfam says of the family: 5.8S ribosomal RNA (5.8S rRNA) is a component of the large subunit of the eukaryotic ribosome. It is transcribed by RNA polymerase I as part of the 45S precursor that also contains 18S and 28S rRNA. Lineage: Eukaryota; Fungi; Ascomycota; Leotiomycetes; Thelebolales; Thelebolaceae. The record is from RNAcentral.
AAAACUUUCAACAACGGAUCUCUUGGUUCUGGCAUAGAUGAAGAACGCAGAGAAAUGCGAUAAGUAAUGUGAAUUGCAGAAUUCAGUGAAUCAUCGAAUCUUUGAACGCACAUUGCGCCCCCUGGUAUUCCGGGGGGCAUGCCUGUUCGAGCGUCAU